UACGUAGGGACCAAGCGUUGUUCGGAUUUACUGGGCGUAAAGGGCGCGUAGGUGGCGCGGUCAGUCACUUGUGAAAUCUCUGAGCUUAACUCAGAACGGCCAAGUGAUACUGCAGUGCUAGAGUGUGGAAGGGGCAAUCGGAAUUCUUGGUGUAGCGGUGAAAUGCGUAGAUAUCAAGAGGAACACCUGAGGUGAAGACGGGUUGCUGGGCCAACACUGACGCUGAGGCGCGAAAGCCAGGGGAGCAAACGGG
Molecule: ribosomal RNA, 253 nt
Filed under: uncultured bacterium
Lineage: Bacteria
Description: partial 16S ribosomal RNA
Rfam family: Bacterial small subunit ribosomal RNA
Source: RNAcentral